RNAcentral lists this microRNA precursor (83 nucleotides) under Sphingomonas endophytica. RNAcentral describes it as "microRNA MIR1846". Lineage: Bacteria; Pseudomonadati; Pseudomonadota; Alphaproteobacteria; Sphingomonadales; Sphingomonadaceae. The record is from RNAcentral.
CAUCGUCACUGCGAGCGGAGCGAAGCAAUCCAGGGCUUCGUGAUCCGACCCUGGACUGCUUCGCUCCGCUCGCAGUGACGAUU